GGCGUACCUUUUGUAUAAUGGGUCAGCGAGUUAGUCUUUGCAGCAAGCUUAAGCCGAUAGGUGAAGGCGUAGCGAAAGCGAGUCUGAAUAGGGCGAUGAGUUGCAGGGAUUAGACCCGAAACCGAGUGAUCUAGCCAUGGGCAGGUUGAAGGUGCAGUAACAUGUACUGGAGGACCGAACCCACUCCCGUUGAAAAGGUAGGGGAUGACCUGUGGUUAGGGGUGAAAGGCCAAUCAAACUCGGAAAUAGCUGGUUCUCCGCGAAAUCUAUUGAGGUAGAGCGUCGGGAUAGGACACCACCGGGGGUAGAGCACUGGAUGGGCUAGGGGGCGCGAGCCUUACCAAACCUAACCAAACUCCGAAUACCGGUGAGUGAUUGCCCGGCAGGCAGACCAUGGGUGCUAAGGUCCGUGGUCGAGAGGGAAACAGCCCAGACCGCCAGCUAAGGUCCCCAAGUGGUGGCUAAGUGGGAAAGGAUGUGGGAAGGCCAAGACAGCCAGGAGGUUGGCUUAGAAGCAGCCAUCCUUUAAAGAAAGCGUAAUAGCUC
This 546-nucleotide ribosomal RNA is filed under the name uncultured bacterium. RNAcentral's name for it is "bacterial LSU rRNA". It matches the Rfam family "Bacterial large subunit ribosomal RNA", at positions 598 to 1143 of the family's 2925-position model. The record is from RNAcentral.